Long non-coding RNA from Micropterus salmoides (largemouth bass), 314 nucleotides. RefSeq lists it as uncharacterized. The transcript is spliced from 3 exons. NCBI's taxonomy places the organism in Eukaryota, Metazoa, Chordata, Actinopteri, Centrarchiformes, Centrarchidae. The record is from RefSeq and is a predicted model, not a curated record.
CGCCGAGCUCUGGUAUCUCUUCUUCGGAGGCCUCAGCGCUGAGACAUACUGGGAAAAACAGAUGAGGGCACAGAUUUCAGGGACUUUCAAAAACAAUGACGUGUGUCUGUGUACACGUGUCGGCCCCUCACUUUGUGUCUGUCCACUCUGGUGGAGAUCCGGUUGAUAUUUGGCAGCAUCCGGAGCCGUUUCCACGUCUCAAGCAGGAGCUGGAGGAGGUUUUUCAGAGACUGGCCUGUGGAACAGUGGCGUGCACCUACUUUCUUGUUCCUGAAGGCCUCCACCAGCCCGACUGCCUGCUCCACCGUCAGAGG